UACGGAGGGUGCAAGCGUUACUCGGAAUCACUGGGCAUAAAGCGCACGUAGGUGGAAAGAUGUGUCGGUCGUGAAAGCCCUCGGCUCAACCGGGGAACUGCGUCCGAAACUGUCUUUCUUGAGGACGAGAGGGGAGAGCAGAACUUCGGGUGGAGCGGUGAAAUGCGUAGAUAUCCGAAGGAAUACCGAUGGCGAAAGCAGCUCUCUGGCUCGUAUCUGACACUGAGGUGCGAAAGCGUGGGUAGCAAACGGG
RNAcentral lists this ribosomal RNA (253 nucleotides) under uncultured bacterium. RNAcentral describes it as "partial 16S ribosomal RNA". It matches the Rfam family "Bacterial small subunit ribosomal RNA", at positions 524 to 776 of the family's 1533-position model. The record is from RNAcentral.